RNAcentral lists this long non-coding RNA (756 nucleotides) under Brassica napus (rape). Its description in RNAcentral is "long non-coding RNA (BNAP_LNC015061)". The record is from RNAcentral. Lineage: Eukaryota; Viridiplantae; Streptophyta; Magnoliopsida; Brassicales; Brassicaceae.
AAAACAAGUUUUUAAACCCUAAACUCUAAAUACAAACUUUAAACUCUAUUUUAACAUCAAAUCCUAAAUUUAACUUCAAAUGUUAGAUAUAAAUUCAAAAAUUAAUCUUUUCCAAAAAUUUAUCUCAGAUCUUAAAAUCAAUAUCCCAAACUUUUAACUUUUAAAUCCUAUACUCAUACAUUUAUUCUAAACUCCAAAUUUUAUAUAUAAACUCUACAAGUAAUUAAAAAUUUCUCAACACUAAAAAUUUUAUUCUCAAAGUUUAAACUAAUCUCUAACCCUUAAUAUUUACAAUUUCUAAAAGUAUUUAUCUCCGUAUAAUUUUAAAACUACAAUAAAAAUAUCCAUAAUUAUUAAUCUCCUUUUGCUUAGAAAAAAAUAUAGUAAUCCUCCUACUAUUCUUUCAUUGGCCAAAACAAAAAGUGUGUGGAUUGCAAAGUGUACACCAUUGAUUAAAUUCAUUUAAUGGUUCAGAUUCAUUCAAUCUAUGUUUCUUCCUCUCCCUCUCUCGUGUUUUUGUUAUACAAUCAGACCACAAUUCAUUAUUCUUUUUAGUUUCUUUUAUUCUUUUUUUUUGUUUCAGAUCUGAAACAAUUUUUUAUCUCUGUCUUAUUCACUACGACACCAUCUCUCUUUGCACAUCGUUUUUUUUUCUUCUCUAGAAUCUCUCUCGUCUCUUUUGUUUCCGUCUUCAAGGCCAACCACUCAUCUUCUUCUUUGUAUCUCAUCUCUUCUCCACCUCUGCUCAAGCUUGCC